GAACGGGUGAGUAACACGUGGGUGAUCUGCCCUGCACUUUGGGAUAAGCCUGGGAAACUGGGUCUAAUACCGAAUAUGAUCACGGGCUUCAUGGUCUGUGGUGGAAAGCUUUUGCGGUGUGGGAUGGGCCCGCGGCCUAUCAGCUUGUUGGUGNNNNAAUGGCCUACCAAGGCGACGACGGGUAGCCGGCCUGAGAGGGUGACCGGCCACACUGGGACUGAGAUACGGCCCAGACUCCUACGGGAGGCAGCAGUGGGGAAUAUUGCACAAUGGGCGCAAGCCUGAUGCAGCGACGCCGCGUGAGGGAUGACGGCCUUCGGGUUGUAAACCUCUUUCAGCACAGACGAAGCGCAAGUGACGGUAUGUGCAGAGGAAGGACCGGCCAACUACGUGCCAGCAGCCGCGGUAAUACGUAGGGUCCGAGCGUUGUCCGGAAUUACUGGGCGUAAAGAGCUCGUAGGUGGUUUGUCGCGUUGUUCGUGAAAACUCACAGCUUAACUGUGGGCGUGCGGGCGAUACGGGCAGACUGGAGUACUGCAGGGGAGACUGGAAUUCCUGGUGUAGCGGUGGAAUGCGCAGAUAUCAGGAGGAACACCGGUGGCGAAGGCGGGUCUCUGGGCAGUAACUGACGCUGAGGAGCGAAAGCGUGGGGAGCGAACAGGAUUAGAUACCCUGGUAGUCCACGCCGUAAACGGUGGGUACUAGGUGUGGGUUUCCUUCCUUGGGAUCCGUGCCGUAGCUAACGCAUUAAGUACCCCGCCUGGGGAGUACGGCCGCAAGGCUAAAACUCAAAGGAAUUGACGGGGGCCCGCACAAGCGGCGGAGCAUGUGGAUUAAUUCGAUGCA
Molecule: ribosomal RNA, 846 nt
Filed under: uncultured bacterium
Lineage: Bacteria
Description: bacterial SSU rRNA
Rfam family: Bacterial small subunit ribosomal RNA
Source: RNAcentral